AAAGGGAGACCUAAUUCGGGUAGAAGACGAAAAAAUAGUAGUCGAAACCAAGAAUCAAUCCCAAAAGGUCGGAGCGAGGCGAAAUUGGCUUUCAAACUAGGUUCUGGGUUCAAACAAGACCUGAAUCAGGAACAAGGGCUAUUAGCUCAGGUGGUUAGAGCGCACCCCUGAUAAGGGUGAGGUCCCUGGUUCGAGUCCAGGAUGGCCCACCUGUACAGGUGGCAAAAAGAAAGAAAAGAAGCGAGGAAUCAGCACCUUAUCUUACUGACAUAGUAAGAGAGAAUGCUGGCUCUGAGUAAAGAGUCCAGAGGAACCUUGAAAACUGCAUAGAGCUAGGUGAAAAAGCCAAAAAAGAAGACCGCAAG
Molecule: transfer RNA, 365 nt
Filed under: uncultured Microcystis sp.
Lineage: Bacteria; Bacillati; Cyanobacteriota; Cyanophyceae; Chroococcales; Microcystaceae
Description: partial 16S-23S ribosomal RNA intergenic spacer
Rfam family: tRNA (bases 136-209)
Source: RNAcentral